UGCCUUCUGCCAUGAUCGAACAUUUCCUGAGGCCUCCUUCGAAGUGGAGCAGAUGCUGCCAUGCUUCCUGUGCAGCCUGUGGAACUGCGAGCCAAUCAAACCUCUUUUCUUUAUACAUUACCUAGUCUCAGGGACUUUAAGAAGCUGCUGAAGAACAAAAAUGAAGGUGGGAGCUGUUGGUGUCGAGUGACUCAUAGCACCAUCCUUCAGGGACGGUGUGGUUGGCCAGAGUAUGGUCAGGGAGAGCCAAGAGAAGAAGUGCUUCUGAGUAUGACCCAGCAGGGUGGAAAGAAGGAGUCUCCCAAGUGCACAUUUGUUGGAGGAAGCUUUUGUGGGCUCCUGACAUUCCAUUAUUCUAGAACUACAAGGAGACACCCUCCAGAGAAAGCAGCAACAAGGCACCAUCUUGGAAGCUGA
Molecule: long non-coding RNA, 417 nt
Filed under: Callithrix jacchus (white-tufted-ear marmoset)
Lineage: Eukaryota; Metazoa; Chordata; Mammalia; Primates; Cebidae
Description: lncRNA (ENSCJAG00000074484.1)
Source: RNAcentral